AUAUGCCUACGGGGGGCAGCAGUGAGGAAUAUUGGUCAAUGGGCGCAAGCCUGAACCAGCCAAGUCGCGUGAGGGAUGACGGUCCUAUGGAUUGUAAACCUCUUUUGCCGGGGAGCAAGGCCCGCCACGUGUGGCGGGAAGGAGAGUACCCGAAGAAAAAGCAUCGGCUAACUCCGUGCCAGCAGCCGCGGGAAUACGGAGGAUUCGAGCGUUAUCCGGAUUUAUUGGGUUUAAAGGGUGCGUAGGCGGAAGGUUAAGUCAGC
RNAcentral lists this ribosomal RNA (263 nucleotides) under uncultured bacterium. Its description in RNAcentral is "partial 16S ribosomal RNA". It matches the Rfam family "Bacterial small subunit ribosomal RNA", at positions 333 to 592 of the family's 1533-position model. The record is from RNAcentral.